Molecule: long non-coding RNA, 5262 nt
Filed under: Zea mays
Lineage: Eukaryota; Viridiplantae; Streptophyta; Magnoliopsida; Poales; Poaceae
Description: long non-coding RNA (ZMAY_LNC001823)
Source: RNAcentral
UGUGGCAGGACCCUCUCUGCCAUGCGGGCCAUCCGUGUUUGAGCACUGCUGGGCGGACCCUGUGCUAGCUCUAUUCCCUCCCUAUCUCCUCUCCGCUUCGUGCGCUGGCGGUUGAUGGACGGACUCCGAAGACCUCAGCCGUAACAAGAUGCCGAUCUCGCCGCUGGGACUUCGGCCGCUUGUAGCGGGAUCCCGAUCCGGCCAGGCGUCCAGCAGAGUCCGACCGGGCAGGUUCCCCUGGACUCGGAACCUCGCAGCCGUAUAAAACCGAGGCGUCCCUUUUGCAUCCGUGGCGUCCGCCAUUACCGAGCGCAGAGGGAGAAAGCAGCGUCGCCACCGCGGAAUCCACACCUCGGGGUCAAACCGGUGUCCUGCGUGGCGUCUAGAGUUUUGGCCGAGUUCGGUGGUUGACACUACGGAUGUGUUGGAUCGGGUGAAUCAGUGGUGGCGAGUUAAUUCCUCGCCGGAGCACCAGUCCACCGUGAAUUCGCCUAUCGCCGUGGGCGCUGAUUACCGUCGCUCCUUUCUCGGGUAUGUAACUCCUACUGCGUUCGCCACAUUCCGUACUACGCAUACUCGUCGCCGAUUGGGUUUUGGUCGCCGUAUUGCGCUUGGGUGAAGAUCCGGCGAUGGCGUCCGCCACGGCUGGGACGGCGCGGGUGCGCUCGGUUCUGGAGGAGGGCGACGGGUCCGUGGCCAUCGGAUCCGUGGACGACGGUUCAGAUUAGAGCGUAGCAUACCAAUUGGGUGGAAGAGCAGAGAAGCGUUUGAUCGUGAUCUAGCGGCUUGGAUUUGAGCGCGCGUUCGGGUAAUACUGACCGUAGAUCUUCAAUCCAACGUAUGGCGGGUUAUACCGGUUCAUUGACUCGUGAAUCUAAUCUGGGCGCUCGGCUUGCGAUCCAACGGCUCAGAUCGCACCGUACCCUUUCGCCGAGCCGAAAUUGUAAAAGAGCCCCUCUACUUUUCAAGAAUCAACCCGCAGUCCAACACUACUGUGCUCUGUGUCUAGGGAAAAUUAGGAUUUGGCCCCUGUGUUAUCUGUAAAUAGUGCGCCCAGUCCUGGGAAUUAUAAAAUCUAGAAAAAGUGAUUAGAGAAUGAUUUUAAUGAGAAAAUAAAUGCUAAAACUUGUUUAAUUCAUAUAAAAUUCAUAUUAAGUCCAAAUAAGUCCAUUCCAAUUUCUAUAAUUUUAUAAUAUUAUUGUUUAUCAAAUAGUGCCACUGAUUUGACAUGAAAGCCACUUUAAAAUUUAUCUCCUAAUUAAUCUUAUACGAAAUACAUAAAACCAUAGGAAAUUCAUAACUCCUCCGUUUUAACUCCGAUUUGAUCCGUUCAAGUUGCGUUAGUCUCGUAGCUUCGCGUAGAUUAUUUUUAUGCAGUGUGUUCUUAUGUUUGGUGUAAUGUUAAUUUUGCCUAUACACUGUUUGUUUGUAUUGCUACGAUUAGCAGUGAGGUCACGAGUCAUCUGAAGAUCAUCCUAGUACCUGGAAUCUCAAGUCUCAGGCAAGUUGUGCCCUUGAUCACUUCUUUUUACCCACUCAUGUUCUAAUUAAUCAUAAUGAUCUGCAUAGGUUAAUUUUGAUGGGACCCAAUAGGUUACCCUAGUUUGUCUACCUUUAUACCUUGAUUACCACUGGACUUUUUGGGUAGUACUUGCUAUUGCUUUAUGUGGUUUUGGGUAUGAAGAUACAUUAUUCAUGAUCACACUUUUAUUAUCUGUUUAUUAUUACUGUUCAUGAUAAGAUCAUUAUGUUAAUUGGAACAUGGAGCGACCACCCGGGAAAACAGUGCUACCACAAGGGUUUAAUGGGACGCCCUUGGCCGAUUAAUUAGGAAAGCUAGUGGAAGACUACCUUACCCGAAAGGGGCAAGGGCAGUAGGGGAGUGGUCAGUGUAGGGAGGCCCUCGGGAGGAUUUUGCUGCGAUGGCGGUCCUGCAAGGGAUUCCUGCAUUGGAGCUUCCUAUAAACUGUAGCGGGUUUUCUGAAGCUAGUGGAACUUUGUAAAGGCCUCGUAGUGUUACCAUGCCUCGCCUCCUCGGUAGAGGUGUAUGGGAAGUCGCGAUCCCUUGGCAGAUGGGUAACACGACUUGUGGGUAAAGAUGCGCAACCUCUGCAGAGUGUAAAACUGGUAUACUAGCCGUGCUCACGGUCAUGAGCAGCUCGGACCCUCACAUGAUUAAAUUAUGGAACUUAAAUUCAAUUUGUCAUAUGCAUUGCAUCGCAGGUGAUGUUGUUACUUCUGUUCUACUAUUUAAUUGGGUUGGUAUUUACUUAUACUUAGUAAUUGCUAAUAAAAUUUUGACCAACUUUAAAAGCAAUGCUCAGCUUCAACCAUCCUCUUUGGUAAGCCUUACACUUCACGUGAGCUCCCACCUUUGGCGAGUUCAUGCACAUUAUUCCCCACAACUUGUUGAGCGAUGAACGUAUGUGAGCUCACUCUUGCUGUCUCACACCCCCCCCACAGGUCAAGAACAGGUACCGCAGGAUGUGGCGCUUGGAGGAUGCUGCGAUGUGUUCGUGAGAGGUCUAGGCCGUCGUCUCCCAGUCAACUUUGGGUUGCUGGACCGUUGUCUCCUUAUAAUGUAAAUAUUUAUUUUGUAUAGAACUCCUGUUAUAUAUAAAGAUGUGACAUUCGAUCCUGUGCCAUGAUUCAUCAUAUGUGUGAGACUUGGUCCCAGCACACCUGGUGAUUAUGUUCGCGCCUGGGCUUUGGACCCCUAAAACCCGGGUGUGACAGAAGUGGUAUCAGAGGAAUGUUGACUGUAGGACGAAACCUAGAUAGAACUGGACAACCAUUAUCUACUUACCUUUGCUACUCUGAUUCUUUUCUAAACUUAUCUUAAUCUUCUCUCAUCUAUUUCCGCUUUACUCUGAUAAUUCUUACCUUUUCUUUCUAAAGACAAAUGUGGAUUUCAAACUUUGAAAUCCCGUACCUAAGACGAUCUUUAGGAAUAGGAGACCUACUCGUAGGAAAAAAAACUAUUUUAAUAAAUAUUGAUAUGCUUGUUCUUAUGAUGCUUGUCUGAUUUGGAUCUUUGAUUGAGUGUGAUGGGUUGUGGAGUAAUGUCCACAAUCACAUCUAGGGAAAAAUACUUAAAAAAUAACUAGAUAAACUAGAUUAUCACUCAUUUAAGUAUCUAGCCUAACAAUAUCCAUCUCAUCUCGAAAGAUUCUUUCCUACACUCAUAGAUCCAUCUCCUCUCAAAAGAUCCUAACUUAUCCUAAUCUAGCUUAAUAGAUUUACCUUAUCUUAAGAGAUACUCUAUUGCCUUAAUAGAAUCAUCCUAUCUUUGAAAAGAUCUUAUGUCAUCCAAACAGAUCUAACAGACCUCAAAAGAUUCUACCUUAUCCUUAUGGAUUCAUCUUGCCCUAAUUAGCAUAUUUAUCCCACUCUAGAAUAACAACCAAGAGCAAAAAGAUCUAACUCAACCAGUAGAGUCAUGAUGGAUUGCAUAAUCUGUCAUUCCCCACCUAACUUCAAACAAACUUUUGACCUACAUCAUGUAGUUCAUCUCACCCAUAACUACUUCGACCAUAUGCCCGAACUCUGCUGAUAUACAGUAACCUCGAAUUAAUGAGACCAAGACUGAAAAAAAGAAAAGAUCAACCUCGUCAAGGAAGGAGAGAAGUCGAACUCAAUCUUCAGAUGCAUUACCACCCAACACGAAGUUCUUCCUCAUCAUAAACUUUCUUACCCCUGGCUAUUCUUACCCUAACCUAUCCAUCUCUUAUAUCCUACAUAAUAUGUAGUUGGAUACCUAUGCUCUCCUAAUCACCCACUAUUGUCUAAAAAAAGAUGAGACUCUGGAUUUUUGAACCAAUUAUAGAUUAAAAACCGAAUUACAAACCAAUCCUUUUGUAUCCCUUUUCUUACAAAUCUCGAGGACGAGAUUUCUGUUAAGGGGGGUAGGAUUUGUAAGGCCUAAAAUCCGUAUAAAAAAUUUAAUAAUAAUAAAAUAAAUAUAUGAAGAAAUGAGAUAGUAAAUUCUGACAUCUCAACUUAUGCUUGAGCAAUGAAUGUUGAGGAUUGAAUUUUGAAAACCAAGAACUAUUUUGGAGAAGAAGUAAUAGAAAAGUUUCCUAUUCAACUAAAUGAAUAUGCAUUUUAUUAACUGAUGCACCAUAAGCAUUUAUUUACAUGAGUAUUCACGUUUGGAGUAAUUAUUAACUCAUAUCCCACAUUCAAAAUACUAUUUUCUAAAAAAUAAAGAAAACAAUAUGAGUGUUUAUCAUAAUUCAAACAUAUUCCAAGCAAAUAAGUUAAUUAAAAUAAAUAUGUAUCUAUCGCUUCAUAAUUGAAUUUGAUUAUGAAUUAAAGAUUUGAGUUCUUAAACUUUAUUUUGAUUCCAACUUGAAAUUUGUAAACCAAAUAUAAGAUAGAAAAUAAAUAAAAAAAUGAAUUUGGAGAGGAGGAAAAGUGAUUAGGAAAUAAAUAAGAAAAAGAAGGGAAAAUAGGAAAGCAGUGCAUGGGCUCAUUUUUCCUGGCGCAGCCCACUAUCACCUUCGUUCGGCCCACCAGAAUACCCCCUUGCGUAGCCCAGCUGGUUUUGGCGCCGACAUCACGGGCCCACCGGUCAUCUUCACGCGCUCGCGCUCGUUUCUGUGUGUCGCUGGAUCGUGGGCCCGACUUGUCAGGAUCAUCUCCCCCACUGCCCCACAGUGUUCGCUUGCACGGCGUACAGGAUGGUUCUGCUUGGCCUGCGCGUGUGGCAGGACCCUCUCUGCCAUGCGGGCCAUCCGUGUUUGAGCACUGCUGGGCGGACCCUGUGCUAGCUCUAUUCCCUCCCUAUCUCCUCUCCGCUUCGUGCGCUGGCGGUUGAUGGACGGACUCCGAAGACCUCAGCCGUAACAAGAUGCCGAUCUCGCCGCUGGGACUUCGGCCGCUUGUAGCGGGAUCCCGAUCCGGCCAGGCGUCCAGCGGAGUCCGACCGGGCAGGUUCCCCUGGACUCGGAACCUCGCAGCCGUAUAAAACCGAGGCGUCCCUUUUGCAUCCGUGGCGUCCGCCAUUACCGAGCGCAGAGGGAGAAAGCAGCGUCGCCACCGCGGAAUCCACACCUCGGGGUCAAACCGGUGUCCUGCGUGGCGUCUAGAGUUUUGGCCGAGUUCGGUGGUUGACACUACGGAUGUGUUGGAUCGGGUGAAUCAGUGGUGGCGAGUUAAUUCCUCGCCGGAGCACCAGUCCACCGUGAAUCCGCCUAUCGCCGUGGGCGCUGAUUACCGUCGCUCCUUUCUCGGGUAUGUAACUCCUACUGCGUUCGCCAC